Molecule: ribosomal RNA, 253 nt
Filed under: uncultured bacterium
Lineage: Bacteria
Description: partial 16S ribosomal RNA
Rfam family: Bacterial small subunit ribosomal RNA
Source: RNAcentral
UACGGAAUGUGCAAACGUUAUUCGGAAUCACUGGGCUUAAAGAGUCCGUAGGCGGCCUGUUAGGUGAGGUGUGAAAUCCCCCGGCUCAACCGAGGAAUUGCGCUUCAAACCGGCGUGCUAGAGGAAGAUAGAGGUGGGCGGAACUGAUGGUGGAGCGGUGAAAUGCGCUGAUAUCAUCAGGAACACCGGAGGCGAAGGCGGCCCACUGGGUCUUUUCUGACGCUGAGGGACGAAAGCUAGGGGAGCGAACGGG